AGAGCAUUGCAACAAAGUUUCAAUGAGAUCCAAUAAUCGUCUAAAUACUGUUCUCUGCCUUCAAAACAAAAUUCAAACGCCAAAACUUUAUAAAGUAGCCACUAAUUUUGUAGUUUUGCAACAAAGAGAUCAAACAUCACUAUUUUGUAUCUUCAAGCCUCAGUGAUGGGGUACUCGAACACGACAUCUUUGCCUGAAAGCUUCCUAUAAACUGCAGAAAAAGUCUCCAGCUUGUACUCUGUGUUAUUACGCUCCUUGGGGUCCAAGUAGACCUUCAUUAUCUUGGAUCCAUCAACGCGAUAUCUAGUUCGCUUCCCAACAAUCUCUGCAGGGACAACCAAAUCCUCCAACAUGGCAUCAUGGACAGAAGUAAGGGUCCUGGUGCGGGGUCGCUGAGCAGCAGAGCCUCUCUUUGGGGGCCUCACUAUCCUCCUGGUGGCAAUGAAGAUCACAUCCUACAAGAAAAGGAAUUUCAGGAAAUGCUAAAAGAAAAUGUAUCCUUCCUGGAAAAGAGUUGAAUGAAUGAUCUAAUCUAUUCAACAACCACCAG
This 550-nucleotide unclassified non-coding RNA is filed under the name Hevea brasiliensis (rubber tree). The record is from RNAcentral. Lineage: Eukaryota; Viridiplantae; Streptophyta; Magnoliopsida; Malpighiales; Euphorbiaceae.